Molecule: ribosomal RNA, 425 nt
Filed under: uncultured bacterium
Lineage: Bacteria
Description: bacterial SSU rRNA
Rfam family: Bacterial small subunit ribosomal RNA
Source: RNAcentral
GUUGGGAAUAUUGGACAAUGGAGGAAACUCUGAUCCAGUGACGCCGCGUGAAGGAUUAAGGCCCUAUGGGUCGUAAACUUCUUUUGUCGGGGAACAAAAUCGGGGACGAGUCCCCGACUGCGUGUACCCGAAGAAAAAGCAUCGGCUAACUCCGUGCCAGCAGCCGCGGUAAUACGGAGGAUGCGAGCGUUAUCCGGAUUUAUUGGGUUUAAAGGGUGCGUAGGCGGUUUGGUAAGUCAGCGGUAAAAGCCCGGGGCUCAACCCCGGCGAGCCGUUGAAACUGUCGGACUAGAGACGGAGAGAAGUAGGCGGAAUGCGCAGUGUAGCGGUGAAAUGCAUAGAUAUUGCGCAGAACUCCGAUUGCGAAGGCAGCCUACCGGCUCCGGUCUGACGCUGAGGCACGAAAGCGUGGGUAUCGAACAGGA